ACGGAAGGCAGCAGUGAGGAAUAUUGGUCAAUGGGCGGAAGCCUGAACCAGCCAAGUCGCGUGAAGGAUGAAGGUAUUAUGUAUUGUAAACUUCUUUAGACGCAGAGAAAUAAGGAGGUCGAGACCUCUGAUGCUAGUAUGCGUAGAAUAAGGAUCGGCUAACUCCGUGCCAGCAGCCGCGGUAAUACGGAGGAUCCGAGCGUUAUCCGGAUUUAUUGGGUUUAAAGGGUGCGCAGGCGGUCUUUUAAGUCAGUGGUUAAAUCGUGAGGCUCAACCUCAUCACGCCAUUGAUACUGGAGGACUGGAUUGCGGUUGAGGUUGGCGGAAUUCGCCGUGUAGCGGUGAAAUGCAUAGAUAUGGCGAAGAACUCCGAUUGCGUAGGCAGCUGACCAAGCCGUAAAUGACGCUCAUGCACGAAAGUGCGGGGAUCGAACAGGAUUAGAUACCCUGGUA
This 453-nucleotide ribosomal RNA is filed under the name uncultured Porphyromonadaceae bacterium. Its description in RNAcentral is "partial 16S ribosomal RNA". It matches the Rfam family "Bacterial small subunit ribosomal RNA", at positions 341 to 792 of the family's 1533-position model. The record is from RNAcentral. Lineage: Bacteria; Pseudomonadati; Bacteroidota; Bacteroidia; Bacteroidales; Porphyromonadaceae.